UAUGUGAUCGUCUCUCGCAUAUCAAUAAGCGGAGGAAAAGAAACUAACAAGGAUUCCCCUAGUAACGGCGAGUGAAGCGGGAAGAGCUCAAAUUUGAAAUCUUAAAGGGUUUCCCUUUACGAAUUGUAGUUUAAAGAAGUGUUUUCUGUUGAGGUUUUGGUAAAAGUCUUUGGAAUAGGACAUCAUAGAGGGUGAGAAUCCCGUAUUUGACCUUUACUUUCAACUUUGUGAUACACUUUCAAAGAGUCGGAUUGUUUGGGAAUGCAGUCCAAAAUGGGUGGUAAAUUUCAUCUAAAGCUAAAUAUUGGCGAGAGACCGAUAGCGAACAAGUACCGUGAGGGAAAGAUGAAAAGAACUUUGAAAAGGAGAGUUAAACAGUACGUGAAAUUGUCAAAAGGGAAGCGUUUGACACCAGUGUUGUUUUUCUGAAAAUCAAUUAAAGAACUGUUUAUGCUAAGCUGUUUAGACUUUAUCAGCUAUCUGUUUAGUUUUGAGCUUUUCUUUAAUGCACUUUUCAGUUAACAAGUCAACAUCAAUUUCUUUUGCUGUAAAAAAGCUUGAGGAAGGUGGCUUGAGAUUCGUCUUAAGUGUUUAUAGCCUCUUGCCUAUGCAGUCGGAGAGAUUGAGGUCUGCAGCGUAGAUCCUUCGGGGCUAAAUGCAUUUGUGCUAAGUUAUAGCAUUUUAUAGACAACUUGUUGACUAUGAUUUGUCUUGUAGCUUACUCGCUUAUGUUAUUUUACCUACGCUUAGGAUGUUGAUCUACAGAGCGAGAGU
This 774-nucleotide ribosomal RNA is filed under the name uncultured Neocallimastigales. Its description in RNAcentral is "partial large subunit ribosomal RNA". It matches the Rfam family "Eukaryotic large subunit ribosomal RNA", at positions 24 to 635 of the family's 3401-position model. Lineage: Eukaryota; Fungi; Neocallimastigomycota; Neocallimastigomycetes; Neocallimastigales. The record is from RNAcentral.